This 384-nucleotide ribosomal RNA is filed under the name uncultured bacterium. RNAcentral describes it as "bacterial SSU rRNA". It matches the Rfam family "Bacterial small subunit ribosomal RNA", at positions 29 to 416 of the family's 1533-position model. The record is from RNAcentral.
AUUGAACGCUGGCGGCAUGCCUUACACAUGCAAGUCGAGCGGCAGCGCGGGGGCAACCCUGGCGGCGAGCGGCGGACGGGUGAGUAAUACAUCGGAACGUGUCCUUUCGUGGGGGAUAACCAGUCGAAAGACUGGCUAAUACCGCAUGAGAUCUCACGAUGAAAGCGGGGGAUCCGCAAGGACCUCGCGCGAUUGGAGCGGCCGAUGUCGGAUUAGCUAGUGGCGGGGUAAGAGCCCACCAAGGCGACGAUCCGUAGCUGGUUUGAGAGAACGACCAGCCACACUGGGACUGAGACACGGCCCAGACUCCUACGGGAGCAGCAGUGGGAAUUUGGACAAUGGGCGCAAGCCUGAUCCAGCCAUGCCGCGUGUGUGAAGAAGGCC